CAAGGCUGAGGCGUGAUGACGAGGCACUACGGUGCUGAAGCAACAAAUGCCCUGCUUCCAGGAAAAGCCUCUAAGCAUCAGGUAACAUCAAAUCGUACCCCAAACCGACACAGGUGGUCAGGUAGAGAAUACCAAGGCGCUUGAGAGAACUCGGGUGAAGGAACUAGGCAAAAUGGUGCCGUAACUUCGGGAGAAGGCACGCUGAUAUGUAGGUGAAGUCCCUCGCGGAUGGAGCUGAAAUCAGUCGAAGAUACCAGCUGGCUGCAACUGUUUAUUAAAAACACAGCACUGUGCAAACACGAAAGUGGACGUAUACGGUGUGACGCCUGCCCGGUGC
This 337-nucleotide ribosomal RNA is filed under the name Escherichia coli. Its description in RNAcentral is "partial 23S ribosomal RNA". It matches the Rfam family "Bacterial large subunit ribosomal RNA", at positions 1551 to 1869 of the family's 2925-position model. The record is from RNAcentral. Lineage: Bacteria; Pseudomonadati; Pseudomonadota; Gammaproteobacteria; Enterobacterales; Enterobacteriaceae.